This 426-nucleotide ribosomal RNA is filed under the name uncultured bacterium. RNAcentral describes it as "bacterial SSU rRNA". It matches the Rfam family "Bacterial small subunit ribosomal RNA", at positions 356 to 773 of the family's 1533-position model. The record is from RNAcentral.
GGGGAGUCUUGCGCAAUGGACGAAAGUCUGACGCAGCCACGCCGCGUGAGUGAAGAAGGCCUUCGGGUUGUAAAGCUCUGUCGGAGGGGACGAAAAUGCAAACGGUUAAUAGCCGUAUGUACUGACGGUACCCUCAAAGGAAGCACCGGCUAACUUCGUGCCAGCAGCCGCGGUAAUACGAAGGGUGCAAGCGUUGCUCGGAAUUAUUGGGCGUAAAGGGUAGGUAGGUGGUUUCAUUUGUCUGGGGUGAAAGCCUUUGGCUUAACCAAAGAAGUGCCCCGGAAACGGUGGAACUAGAGUGCUAGAGAGGGUCGUGGAAUUCCCGGUGUAGCGGUGAAAUGCGUAGAGAUCGGGAGGAACACCAGAGGCGAAGGCGACGACCUGGAUAGCAACUGACACUCAACUACGAAAGCGUGGGUAGCAAAC